CUCUCUCUCUCAACGUCUUUCCCACGUCUUUUCUUCUUUCUCUCUCUAUAUAUAUAUCCUCUCGAUAUCCUCUCGUCGUCCCUUUUCCUCCCUUGUCGUGGUCCCUUUCCGCGUCUCCUCGCGUAUAUAUAUUUCCGUCGCGAAACGCCGCUCUAUCCAGUUCGAUCUUAGACACGUUCCAUGUAUCUAUCGUUCGUUCGUUUUCCAACCUCCAGCCUCGGACCGGCUCUCGCUCGCUCCGUUCGACCAAACGCUAAAACGACGCUCGUGCUGCUCCUGUCCUUCGUCGUGGCCGAGAUCUGUAACGAAAACAUAACCUUUAAUCGGCCGCCACGGGAUUACCUGAAGCCGUCGACGGCGUCUCGAUCGCGCUCCGGUUCCGCGAUUUCUCGCGACGCGACGCGACAUAACCUCUCCCCGUGUCGACAAACGGAUCAACUGCGACGGUCGCGGCCGGAUCUUUAUCCGCGCUCGCGACUCCCGAAACUCCAUCGAACGGUCCAUCGUUGUUCCUCGCCUACAAAUUGCUAUUCCCACUUAGAGGGGAAUUCGUGUUACGGAACGAUUAAUUUUACCGGUGGCAUUUGGCAUCGGUCCAGUCGUGUCGGCGUACGCGCGUCGUCGGUGCCCUGCGCCUGUGUGCCCGUGUGCUCGUCUCUCUCUCUCUCUCUCUCUCUCUCUCUCUUUCUCUCUCUCUCUUUACGCGUCCCCGUGUGGACACGUCGAUGUUAACCGUCCCAGACAGUCGGCCGCGCGAGAUCAAGGAAACUAUUAUUCGACGCGACGCUCUCCUUUUUCCCCGUUGCCUCGGAUCUCGAGGAACCUCGCGAGACAAGGCCGGCUCUCGAGCCGGAUAGGAGAUCGCGUACCAAAAAGUAUUCGAUUUUUUAAUUUCGACGGAAACGAUGACAGUCGACGCGAGUGGAUCGCGUUUCUCGAGAGCCGCCGGUCUCGUUUCGGAAGGCGAAAUAUAUCACGUACGCGGCAGAAAUAUUCGCUCGGUUACUAGGAAGUGACUAAGAAACGAAUAGGAAGUGGCCGGCGCGUUGAGUAUUACCGACGGAUGGACAACGAAAACUACGCGUUACUCAGCGUCGCGUCGCAGUGGGCAAAACUGCCGAUCUAGGUAGACGAAAACGAUAGCAUCGACUACCUGAAACCGUCGUUAAACGGUUACUAAGCAUUUAUAGGGGUACUGUACGACCGGCAAGCAAUAAAAUUUUACCCAAAAUUUUCCCGUUAAGAUAAUAUACCUGCCAUUGAGAUGCAUGCGAGCGAGACCUGUACGCAUUUGGCAUUUUGUAUCAACGGAGCAGCAAAGAGAAUCUGCUUCGAUUAUAUUACUCAAAAUUUGAGUACUCGAA
Megalopta genalis is the source of this 1364-nucleotide non-coding RNA. Lineage: Eukaryota; Metazoa; Arthropoda; Insecta; Hymenoptera; Halictidae. The record is from RefSeq and is a predicted model, not a curated record.